RNAcentral lists this ribosomal RNA (550 nucleotides) under uncultured bacterium. RNAcentral's name for it is "bacterial SSU rRNA". It matches the Rfam family "Bacterial small subunit ribosomal RNA", at positions 746 to 1296 of the family's 1533-position model. The record is from RNAcentral.
CUGAGGAGCGAAAGCGUGGGGAGCGAACAGGAUUAGAUACCCUGGUAGUCCACGCCGUAAACGUUGGGCGCUAGGUGUGGGGCUCUUUCCACGAGUUCCGUGCCGCAGCUAACGCAUUAAGCGCCCCGCCUGGGGAGUACGGCCGCAAGGCUAAAACUCAAAGGAAUUGACGGGGGCCCGCACAAGCGGCGGAGCAUGCGGAUUAAUUCGAUGCAACGCGAAGAACCUUACCAAGGCUUGACAUGGGCAGAAAUCCGGCAGAGAUGUCGGGUCCGCAAGGGCUGCUCACAGGUGGUGCAUGGUUGUCGUCAGCUCGUGUCGUGAGAUGUUGGGUUAAGUCCCGCAACGAGCGCAACCCUCGUUCUAUGUUGCCAGCACGUCAUGGUGGGGACUCAUAGAAGACUGCCGGGGUCAACUCGGAGGAAGGUGGGGAUGAGGUCAAAUCAUCAUGCCCCUUAUGUCUUGGGCUUCACGCAUGCUACAAUGGCCAGUACAAAGGGCUGCGAGACCGUAAGGUGGAGCGAAUCCCAAAAAGCUGGUCUCAGUUCGG